UACGAGUGCCCCAAGCGUUAUCCGGAAUCAUUGGGCGUAAAGGGUGUGUAGGUGGUUGUGUUAGUCUUCUGUCAAAUUCUUCGGCUUAACCGGGGGUCCGCAGGGGAAACGGCACAACUAGAGGAUGCGAGAGGUGAACGGAACUCAUGGAGUAGGGGUGAAAUCCGUUGAUAUCAUGGGGAACACCGAAUGCGAAGGCAGUUCACUGGCGCACUCCUGACACUGAGACACGAAAGCGUAGGUAGCGAAUGGG
RNAcentral lists this ribosomal RNA (253 nucleotides) under uncultured bacterium. Its description in RNAcentral is "partial 16S ribosomal RNA". It matches the Rfam family "Bacterial small subunit ribosomal RNA", at positions 524 to 776 of the family's 1533-position model. The record is from RNAcentral.